UUUUUGUCUUUGCUAGGGCCGCUCCCAUGGCAUAUGGAGGUUCCCAGGCUAAGGGUCUAAUCGGAGCUGUAGCCACUAGCCUAUGCCAAAGCCACAGCAACUUGGGAUCCGAGCCAUAUCUGCAACCUAGACCACAGCAAGGCCAGGGAUUGUACCUGCAACGUCAUGGUUCCUAGUCAGAUUCGUUAACCACUAUACCACGACGGGAACUCCAUAAACUUUUUUCUAAUUAAAGCAAAGAGGCGGGUAAUUUGGGACAUUUUGGUGAGGUUACAGGACAUUUAUAAAGAUCCUCAUGCAACUGCAUGAUUGUUGGGCUGAAAAUCCCAAACUCUUUCAUGAGUUAAAGAGUUAAUACUUAAUUGGAAAAUUGUAAAAAGCUGAAAUGUAUGUGUUGUGCUUUUUGCAAAAAGUUUCUUUUUUCAAGCAGGUAGCAUAUUAUAAGUGUUAAUCCUUAUUCUUUAUCUCUGCAGCCUUCAGGUCCAGGAUCAAUACUGAAAAAUUAACUAGUUCUCUGCUUUCAAUCCAUUUUGUGUGCCUCACCAAAUUGCCACUCUGCUUUGCAUGAUUUAACACAAUUGUCUGCCUUUGCCCCAGAGGCUGAAUGCUUAGCCUGCAAGGAACCACAAAUGGAAGGAAAGCUUGGCCAGCAUCUGCCCACACUUCGUCUGGUUUAAGGCAGUAUUUCCAUCUCUUUUUCUAUCUUAAACUUGUAAAUAAAUAACAGUUUCGCAUAAUUAAUUUUCAGAAAAAAAGGAUUUUGGUAAAUCACCACUAUUAUUUAAUAUUAGCCAAUAGCUUACAAAUUACCACGGUUAAAACAUAUAAGUUUUACUCUUGAUAUCACUUUCAGGUAAUAAAAUAGCCACUGGUAGACUUCAGAAGCCUGAACCCAAUACAGGAAGAGUUUUCUUUCCUUAUGUUAUACUGAAUAGGCAAAACUCCAUUAAAAAUAAUUGAUUUUCAUGCUUUAAUAGAGGUGAGAAUAGUUAGGUAAGAACUUUCUUUCACUAAUUUCUUUUUCUCUCUGAUCUACUGGCACUUAUAUACAUAGCUAUGACCAGAAUGCUACAGGUUAUAAAUCUUUUAUAUCAAAUCUAUUUUAUAUUUAUUAUGGCAUUGGCCUUUAGAGAUAAGCUUAGUCUAAUUGCCUGAACUUACUAGCAAGAGAAAUAAUAUCCUUAGAACAUAAAGAGCAUUCCCUAGGUCAUGAAGCAGGUGGCAGAGCUGGGCCCAGCACUCCUGUCUCCUGACCCUUAGUCCAGGGAUCUCCUCUCGCUCCAGGCCACUCCCUUAGCAAGUGAAUAACUGAGAGGGAAUUUGUUAAGACGUGCUCAAGAUUGGAAUAAAAUGGCACCACUGAAUUUUCUAGAAAGGUGAACAACCCAGGGAAAGUGCCCUAUGAGUGGGCAUGAGCCCUACAGGGGAAUAGGAACAUAACAGCUGCUAAGGUGAUGGAUAGGAGCAGAUAUGCGCUCUUAUCUAGUGACAGAAUUAUGACCAAGUAAAGUUUCUCCAGUCCUCAUACUGUCCCCCUCAGUGGGACAAGCCAGGGCUAGUCAGAGCAAUGGGACAUGGAACAUGAGGGAGCAGUGGUUAAGCCACUGCUAACGCAGUAACCCCUGAGUUCAGCAAGAUCUGGGUUUGGUCUAUGAGAGGAAGGACCAACUUUGACCCCACCUGUGGCCAAGAUGUUAAGCAUUCUCCCCAUUCAGCCAGGAGCCUUCAGUACCUGGAUCUGAAGGGAGAGACACAUCCUCCGGCCAGACUCACCAGUGUCCACACUGCCCCAUGACCACGUAUCCUCUGGAACUGGGAGAAAGCUCAGAGGAAACAAGACCUUGACAAAAGGGGGAGGAGAGGAAACUACACUCAGCAGUUAACCCCCAAAUAAUACUACCCACUCUGAUCCAAGCUCAAGCUUUUAAGAGGGACUUAGAAAUGCCCUUCAUGGGAGGCUCACACAGGGCUUAGUCCAUUUGUUUUUAAACCACCAGGUUAUUCUUAGGCACAGUGUUUCAUAAGGUCCCCAAGAUAAGCCAGUGUUUGGAAGGCUAAAAAGGUGAGACACCCAAGCUCAGUAACAGGACUGGUGGAAAAAAUUAGGUCACUCAUUGUUCUAAGGCCUCAGAGGGCCCCCUUUCUAAACGAUUUUGCUUUUUGAGCUUUAGACAAUGGCUAGGGGCAUGGGGUGGGAGGAGGAAACUCAAACUAUGAAACAAUGUGGAAAACAGACGUGGUGUGAAUCAUCAUCAAAAGAUCUUUUUGAUCUAAGUAGAGUUGUAAAUCAGUAGAAUUUCUGGUAGAUUAUAGACACAGAUUAUUCUUGGCAUUUGAAAUUUCUUUCCCUCUUCUCCUUUCUCUCCCCCAAAUAGCCUCUGCUCACUGAAAAAAACAAAUCCAAAGUGCCAAAUAAAUCUUCGCUCUGAGUACAAAACUCCAAUGUGCAGGCACUCUGUCACUGCUUGUUAUUACACAAUUUCUGUUUCCAAAAUGUAAUUUUCCCCUCUUUUCCUUUUAGACUUCUCCCACCUUUUGUACGUCCGAUCACUUGUUUCUCAAAACAUACCUAUUAGGCAGGUCAGGGAGAGUUUUGUCUGCACAUUCCGCUGGAACCCAGAAAGUGAGGUUCCAUGGCAAGAUCAAGGACACAGAGCCAGCCAGGAAGACAGCAAGAUCCUGCAAGAGCCUGCAGCCAGCAAAAGCUUGGAGCCCUCCCACCCAGGGUUCUGCAUGCCUCAUUAUUAAACGGCCUCUUGAAAACACUUGCUGAAACUGGAGUUCCUCCAGCUUUGACUGUCACCGUUAAAAUUAUUAAUGUUCCAAGAAUCCAGAAGCCCAACUAGAGUUUUCUUGAAAUACCUCACCAUGACUGAGGCACACUCAGUGUGAAGUGCCAUUAAACUCACUGCCCAUGAACCAAACAAGACAAGAGAGCUACAGAAUCUUACUUGUGAAACUAAAGGGAAAUUCAAAGACAUUUUCAUUAGCCUGAGCUUUUCACCCACUUUACAGUCGCUCCUCUGUUAAUGGAGGAGACCCCAUUCCAGUACCACUCUGGUCUCAGCAUCAUAAGUUCCAGAGGGAGAAAUUAUAUCUGAAAUGUUAAGAUGUGUUUAGGUGCUGGCUUUUUUAGGAGGGUGUUGGUGAUCAAUCCUCUAUCUCACCAGCCCCUUGCAAUCUAGGUUUUGCAAUUACUCCUUUCACGGUAGGAUGGGAGCCCAAUGGGAACUACCAAGGGCUGGAUUCAGAAGUAUCAUUCUGUUCCCAUGAAGCUGAGCUCUGUGGGUUCCAAGUGUAACCCUACCCUCAGGUAGCUCAGAAGCUAGGAUCACCUCCAAUAACAUUGUCAGCUGUUGGUCUUCCUGACCAUGACCCUGAGCUGUAAGGAUCAGAGCUGCUGCAUGAACUUCAUUAGUGUAUUCCCCUGCCCACCCAGGCUUCCUAUUGAACAUAUCUAUCAAUACAGGGACUCUAAAUGGGAUUUAGAACACAAAUCUGGUGCUCCAAACCAACAUUUGGACUGUUUACUAUGAGAAACUUGGGGCUAUAACUUUAAAUUCUAACGAAUCAUUCAUCCUGAGAUGUUUGAUACCAAAGCAAGAAGUCCUCAAAGGUUGAUCCUGGAUGCCAUCAGCCUGAAUCUCUCUGACAACAGCACACAGGGAAAAACACCUGCUUUCUAAUCUCAUUUCCAUCCGUAACUAGUCAUCUGACCAAGUCACAGGAUCUCACUCAGCCUUCUCAGUUUCCUUAGCCAGGGAAAAACAAUACUUCACACUUUAACUUCAAAUAUUUCAACGAUGACGUUAGGAAACACAGACAAAGACACAAGGUAAAAUGCAAUGCACUGUGUUCAAGAGGGAGAUGUCUGGUAUUUCCUUGUUCACUUGUGCUAGCAUCCCUGCCAUGUGAAAACUUAAAAGACCCUGGUCAGCCAGAGCCAAUGUCAACCAGAUUUUAAUCAUCACCACUGCAGCCUAGGAGCUGUCUGUUAAUAUUCUCUGAAGCCUUGGUGUAUUUCUUCACUUUCCAAUAACAAUAAUACAUUUGCAUAUGUCUUCAUGGGGUGUGUGUGUGUGUGUGUGCGUGCAUGCGUGCGUGCGUGCGUGUGUUCUUAUCUAAACAUUUCAGUGACACAGGAACCAGCCUUCAAGGAAUUUUUUAAAUGUGUUUCCUGUUAAGGACAUCUUUUUCUCAGACCUUCUCUCCAGCGUCUACUUAAAUCAAAGGCUGCUCUGCAGCCUGUGUGUAGCCUGAGCUUUUAUUUAACCCUAUCUUGCGAUGUUAAGGGACACAAAUGAAAAGGAAGUGUUGAGAUGGCAACUGUUUGGAAAGCAGCCUGGAGGUGCAACAGAGACCUCUGUUACUCAGCUUGAAAAUGGCCAUGGCCUCCAUACAUUAAAAAAUAAAACGAAUAAAAAAAAAAAAGUCUACAGAUUUUUCCACAAGUAAUUUCAAUAGAAAAGAGAGAGAGGGGAGUGGAUUAAAAAAAUUGAAAAGAGACAUGGGAGUUCCCUGAUGGACCUAGCAGGUUAAGGAUCCAGUAUAUCACUGCAGCAGCUCAGGUCAUUGCUGUGGUGCAGGUUUGAUGCCUGGCCCAGGAAUUUCUGCACGCCACAGGCACAGCUAAAAUAAAUAAAAUAAAAUAAAAUAAAAUAAAAUAGACUGAAGGUCAUACAUUGAUAUGUACCCCCUGAUGUAAUUCCCCUGAGAGGGACGCCUUACCCUCUGUGACAUUCUUCCCAAACCCAUAGCCCCAGUUCUGUCAUGAGAAAACAUCAGGCAAAUCCAAACUAAGGGACUUUCUACAAAAUACCUGAUCACAUCAAGACAAACAAGACUAAGAAACUGUCACAAAUCAGAGAAGCCGAAGAGGUCAUGAUGACCAAGUGUACUGUGGUGUCCAGAACUGGAUCCUGGAAGGGGAAAACUGGUGAAAUCCAAAUAAAGCCUACAGGUAGUUAAUAGAAAUGUCCCAAGGUUAAUCUCUUAGGUUUGACAAAUACACCAUCAAUAUGUAAGACGUUACCAUUAGGGGAAAUUGAGUGAAGGAUGCACAGGAACUCUUCAAUGGUUUAUUUUAUUUUAUUUUUUUAUUUUUUGCCUUUUAGGGCUGCACUCAUGGCAUAUGGAGGUUUCCAGACUAGGGGUCCAAUUGGAGCUGCAGCUGCUGGCCUAUGCCACAGCGACAGCACUGCAGGAUCCAAGCGGUGUCUGUGACCUACACCACAGCUCAUGGCAAUGCCAGAUCCUUAACCCACUGAGCAAGGCCAGGGAUCGAACACACAACCUCAUGGUUCCUAGUCAUAUUUGUUUCUGCUGCGCCACGACGGGCAUUCCAAUAGUUUAUUUUAAAAAGAAAGAAAAAAAGACUUCAUAAACUUACCAACCAAUCAAAUUGUGGGACUUUAUUUGAAUCUUGAUCCAAGAAAUUAUUUUUAAAAAUUUGUUUAUGAGACAACUGGAAAUUUAAACACUGGAUAUUUGAUUAUAUGAAAGAAUUAUUAAUUACUUUUAGGUGUGCUAAUGGGAUUAUGCUUAUAGCUUUUUUAAAUCAGUCUUUUUUUUUAAGAGACACAAUCCACACUAUUUGUAGAUGAAAUAAUACAAUGUCUGAAAUUUGCUUCAAAAAUAACACAGGAAGGGGAAGUUGGUGAAGGUGUCAAAAGCAUGAAAAUGGGUGAUGGGUAUAUGGGAGAUUAUUUUAUUUUAACUGUCUUUGAUAUGUUUGAAAUUUUCCAUAAUUAAAAACAAUUAAUUUAAAAGAUUCCAAGGAGGGGGUUUCCUUGUGGCUCAGUGGGUUAAGGACCUGGCAUUGUCACUGCUAUGGCUCAGGUUGCUGCUGUGGCACAGAUUCAAUCCCUGGCCCAGCAAAAAAAAAAAAGAUCCAAAGAAGAAAAACCUCAAUCCCCUACAUUUUGAUCACAUAGCAGUAACUCUGCUGCUAUACUCACCACCUCAGCAACCCCCCAAUUAUAUUCAUGCAGCCUCCCAUUCUUACCAAACCCAGAAACUGGCUUUGGGAUCAAAGUUCUCUCCGAAUCUCCCACUGACGUUUGCCCCUGAAACUUGCUCAGAGGUACCAGAGCAUUAUCACCCAGCUGGGAAAACAGCCCUGGGAACCUGAAUAGAUUUUCCAGCAUCUGGUAGCCGCAGGAGCCACUGGAGCCCAGCAGUGAGGGAAGAGGGUGUUUAUUGUGAGUCCAAAGGCAGCCACAUCCUUCA
Molecule: long non-coding RNA, 6228 nt
Filed under: Sus scrofa (pig)
Lineage: Eukaryota; Metazoa; Chordata; Mammalia; Artiodactyla; Suidae
Description: lncRNA (ENSSSCG00040072023.1)
Source: RNAcentral